UAAUAAGUGUUUUAUGGCACCUUUUUAAAUCCAUAUUCCACCUUGUGUGCAAUGUCGGUCGAUCUUCUUUUUUUGAGGAUCGACCAAACAUCAACCUUUAUUUUUUAACUCUUUGUCUGAAAAAUAUUAUGAAUAAACAAUUCAAAAUA
This 149-nucleotide unclassified non-coding RNA is filed under the name soil metagenome. RNAcentral's name for it is "partial internal transcribed spacer 1". The record is from RNAcentral.